Mobula hypostoma (lesser devil ray) is the source of this 1169-nucleotide long non-coding RNA. RefSeq lists it as uncharacterized. The transcript has 3 exons. NCBI's taxonomy places the organism in Eukaryota, Metazoa, Chordata, Chondrichthyes, Myliobatiformes, Myliobatidae. The record is from RefSeq and is a predicted model, not a curated record.
GCCAGCAAUGGCAACUUGUUUUGGUUAGAUUUGGCUGCUACGUUCUAUCAACAAAAGCUUUUGACAGUAUUACCAAAUGUUCAUUAGCAUUCGGACAUAUCCAAAGCACCAAUCAGAAACACGACAGCCUGGAGCAGCUUGUGGCAAGCUUGGGAUCCAUGUGAUUCUUCAAUUACUUGAACUCCCAUGACAAGAAUUCUUCAUCAGAACUGGCAAUUCUCAUGAGGAAUCUUGGACUUCAAUGUCAACAAAACUGUUUCAAUUUCCAGGGAUGCUGCCUGACCUGCCGAGCUUUCCCAGUAUUUUCUGAUUAUAUCUGGAAGCAAUUCUCUGAAAAUAAAUAUUAUAAAAUUCAUUCACAUUUUGCUGCUUGUUCAGAGGUCUCCCAAUACAGAAAUGAUUGAGCAUCUCCGGUCUUUUGGGAUCCCUUGUGGUGGCCGUGAAGCAGGAGUCUGUAAUGGCAGGUCUGAAAUGGGUAGAGGAAAUCUGAGCCUCAGUCACUUGGACAUAUGAGACCUUGAGAUUUGGCUCAGGAUAAGGCAGAAUCAUGAUUAGCCAGUUGAGAAGUUUGGGUUACAAUCCAAGUGCAGGAGGGGCAGAUGGGGAUAUGGUUAGGCCAACACUGGGUGGUGCAGGAUCCUAUUUAGACAUGUAUCAGCCAGAGAGAAAUAAAGCGAAGAGUAAAUAGGUUAAGUGAGAGGAAGUGGUUAGAGAGGAUCUGGGGAAUAAUCUGUCCAUCCAGACGGUGGGUGCAAUUUGGAAUCCACUACCUAAGAAGAUUGUGGUUGGAGGUGGAUACAGUCUGGACAUUUAAGGAGCUUCUGGACAAAUGUUUGAAUCUCAAAGGUUUAUUACUCUACGGCCUAAGGGCUGGGAAAUGGUAUUAGUACAGAUAGGAACUUUAUGGUUGACAUGGUCACAGUGAGUCACAGAGCCUAUUUCUCGCUAUUUAUGAGUAUUUGAGUCUAAAACUUAAUUGUGAUCUUCUCUAAUAGUUAACCUAGUCAGCCACAUCCUAUGUUGAUGUAGAACUCACACCCAUGGCUAAGGUCCUCUUUAGCAUGUGGCCAACAAUGACAGCAGGCUACAUCCCUUCAAAUGAAUUCCACUGGAUAAGACUACUACAGAAGCAGCUAUAUCCAAACAAAUCUGCUUCCUAUAAAGAGAUG